AAAAUCCGUCGACUUGAAAAA
RNAcentral lists this transfer RNA (21 nucleotides) under Piper nigrum. RNAcentral describes it as "partial tRNA-Leu". Lineage: Eukaryota; Viridiplantae; Streptophyta; Magnoliopsida; Piperales; Piperaceae. The record is from RNAcentral.